GGUCCCACAGCCGCUGGAGCGUGGGUCUUGCGACCAGGUGGGCUUCGGCCGCAGAUCGGGACAGCGCACACUCAGCUGCUUUCUGCUCCCCGACUAGGACCUCAGAGCAGACGUGGCAACCCGCUGAAUUUAAGCAUAUUAGUAGGCGAGGAAAAGAAACUAACCAGGAUUCCCUCCUUAAUGACAAGUGAAGAGGGAAGAGCCCAGCACCGAAUCCCCUUCUGGCAGUGGGCACGGGAAAUGUGGCGCACAGAAGACUCCACAGCGUCGCUCACGGGGCCCAAGUCCUUCUGAUCGAGGCUCACCGUGUUAGGCCGUUAGCGGCCUCUGGCGUGCCGGGAUCGGGUCUUCUCAGAGUCGGGUUGCUUGGGAAUGGUGGUAAACUCCCUCUAAGGUUAAAUACCUGGCCACAACCACUCAACUCCGCCUUCUUGGAGACUUUAACAUCCAGCUGGAUUCUUCCUGUCUCUCCUCUGGACUUUUUCGCGACCUCUGUGACUCUCUCUCUCUCUUUCUAUUAUCCACUCUGGCCAGACUCACUCUGCAGGGCACACUCUAGAUGUUCUGAUCUCCUCAGACCUCCCCUUCUCUAUCCCCCUCACCACUCCUCUCUCCUGGAGUGAUCACUUUCCCCUUUCCUCCGAUCUCUCCCUUUCUAUCCCUUCGGCCAAGCCAACUCCAGCACUGCCACCUACCUUCUCGGUCACCCGACCCAUGAAGCAUGUGUCAGUUUGCUUUCGCCGCCACUUUCUCUCCCCCUCUGCCUCCUCUGGCUGGCUGACUCACAUCCUGAUGUAGCCCUUUCCAUGCUCCACUCUUGAUUUUCUUGCUCCUGUCAUGAGGAUCAGCUUGAAGCCCAAAGCCAAGUGCAACUCCUGGUAUGACUCUGACCUUGUCACCCUUAAACACAAGUGCAGGGUCGCUGAGAGGAAAUGGCUAGCUUCUUGUACAUCCUCUGACAAACUGGCGUGCCACCUGCUCCAAAGGCAACAACGGCUCUCUGUCUGCACUAAGAAGACAGCCCACAUCCAAGCCUGCGUCUUUGCAACAUAUAACAACUCAGCCAAACUCUUUAAAAUCUGCCAGGAGCUGACCAAUCCUGCUGCAGUCUCUACCUCUCCUGUCCCCUCCCAGGCCCUCUGCACGGCCCUGGCUUCUCAUUUCAUCUCUAAAACCCAGGAAAUCCUGUCCACCCUCUCAUCCUCUCCUCCUCCCCCUCCCUCUAUUCUCUCCUCUACCUCUGGCCUCCAUGUGGCCACCCCUCCUCCCUCUUUCUCUUCCUUUCCUCUGUUCUUUCCUGACAAGGUUUAUAAACAAGUUCGAUCUAUUUUUCUCAUCAAAACAGGUUCUUCCCUGUUCUUCCAAAACCAUCAAGGACUGCAUUGACACCCUGGCUCCUGCCCUGGCUGACUUCUGCAACCACUCUUUCGGGGGAGAUGGUGUAAAUCUCUCACUGGGCCGUACCCAUAUCCACUGCAGGUCUCCAAGGUGAACAGCCUCUGACGUGUUAGAACAAUGUAGGUAAGGGAAGUUGGCAAGUCAGAUCCAUAACUUCGGGAUAAGGAUUGGCUCUAACAACUGGGUCGGUCGUGCUGGGGCGCGAAGCGGGGCUUGGUGUGCUCUGCGGCUGGAUGAGGCGUCUUCCACACUCCAAAGCGCCUCGGGAGGCGCUGACUCUGGGCAUGAGUCAGGCCCUCCUGUGGAUCGCCCCAGCAGCUGUCGUCGCAUCUCUCUGUUCCCCCUCCCGGGGUUCGGGCCGGUGUUCUGCUUCGGCCGGCACCUAGCAUUUGACUUGGAAAUGGUGCGGACCAAGGAAAUCAGACUGUUUAAUGAAAACAAAGCAUCGCAAAGGCCCAUGGUGGUUGUUGACGCAGUCUGAUUUCUGCCCAGUGCUCUGAAUGUCAAAGUGAAGAAGUUCAAUGAAGCGCAGGUAAACGCGGAAGUAACUAUGACUCUCUUAAGGUAGCCAAAUGUCUCAUCAUCUAAUUAGUGACGCACAUGAUUUGAUGAACCAGAGUCCCACUGCCCCCAUCUAUCUAACAAAACCACAGCCAAGGGAUCCUGCUGGACAGAAUCAUCGGGGAACCAAUACCCCGUCGAGUGUGGCUCUAGUCUGGCACUCUGAAGAGACAUGAGAGGUGUAGGACAAGUGGGAGGCCCUCGGUCUGCCGGUGAAAUAACGCUACUAAAAUAAUGUUUUCACUUACCCGGCGAGGCAGGGAGCGAGCCCCGUGGGGCUGGCUCCAAGCGCCCAGAGGGCGCAACCCGCUCCGGGGAAAGUGGCAGGUGGGAAGUUUGACUGGGGCGGUACACCUGUCAAACGAUAAUGCAGGUGUCCUAAGGAGAGCUCAGGGAGGACAGAAACCUCCCGCAUAGCAGAACGGCAGAACCUCGCUUGAUCUCGAUUUUCAGUAUGAAUACAGACCAUGAAAGCAGGGCCUCGCGAUCCUUCUGCCUUUUUGGGUUUCAAGCAGAAGGUGUCAGAAAAGCUACCACAGGCAUAACUGGCUUGUGGCGGCCAAGCAUUCAUAGAGUGGUUGCUUUUUGAUCCUUCAAUGUCGGUUCUUCCUAUCAUUGUGAAGCAGUAUUCACCAAGCAGAUUGUUCACCCGCUAAUGUGGAACGUGAGCUGGUUUUAGACCGUCGUAAGGCAGGUUAGUUUUACCCUACUGAUGAUGUGUUGUUGCAAUAGUAAUCCUGCUCAGUACAAGAGGAACUGCAGGUUCAGACAUUUGGUGUAUGUGCCUGGCUGAGGAGCCAAUGGGGCGAAGCUACGACCUGUGGGAUUAUGACUGAACACCUCUAAAUCAGAAUUCUCCCUCCACCCACGUAAAUUAACAAUACCGUAGCGCUGUGGAGCCUCGGUUGGCCUAGGAUAGCCGGCCUCUGGGCCGGUGCGUAGAGCCACUCGCCUCUGGGCUAGAGUGUGGACAGAAGGGGGGCCACCUCUCUCAUCCGUAGUGCACUGCAUGU
RNAcentral lists this ribosomal RNA (2972 nucleotides) under Ambystoma mexicanum (axolotl). Its description in RNAcentral is "eukaryotic LSU rRNA". It matches the Rfam family "Eukaryotic large subunit ribosomal RNA". The record is from RNAcentral. Lineage: Eukaryota; Metazoa; Chordata; Amphibia; Caudata; Ambystomatidae.